RNAcentral lists this ribosomal RNA (817 nucleotides) under cf. Camarosporium sp. 2 PWC-2017. RNAcentral's name for it is "eukaryotic LSU rRNA". It matches the Rfam family "Eukaryotic large subunit ribosomal RNA", at positions 76 to 909 of the family's 3401-position model. The record is from RNAcentral. Lineage: Eukaryota; Fungi; Ascomycota; Dothideomycetes; Pleosporales.
UGCCCUAGUAACGGCGAGUGAAGCGGCAACAGCUCAAAUUUGAAAUCUGGCUCUUUCAGAGUCCGAGUUGUAAUUUGCAGAGGGCGCUUUGGCGUUGGCAGCGGUCCAAGUUCCUUGGAACAGGACGUCACAGAGGGUGAGAAUCCCGUACGUGGUCGCUGGCCUUCGCCGUGUAAAGCCCCUUCGACGAGUCGAGUUGUUUGGGAAUGCAGCUCUAAAUGGGAGGUAAAUUUCUUCUAAAGCUAAAUACUGGCCAGAGACCGAUAGCGCACAAGUAGAGUGAUCGAAAGAUGAAAAGCACUUUGGAAAGAGAGUCAAAUAGCACGUGAAAUUGUUGAAAGGGAAGCGCUUGCAGCCAGACUUGCCUGUAGUUGCUCACCCGGGCUUUUGCCCGGUGCACUCUUCUGCGGGCAGGCCAGCAUCAGUUUGGGCGGUUGGAUAAAGGUCUCUGUCAUGUACCUCUCUUCGGGGAGGCCUUAUAGGGGAGACGUCAUGCAACCAGCCUGGACUGAGGUCCGCGCAUUUAUGCUAGGAUGCUGGCGUAAUGGCUGUAAGCGGCCCGUCUUGAAACACGGACCAAGGAGUCUAACAUCUAUGCGAGUGUUUGGGUGUCAAGCCCGAACGCGUAAUGAAAGUGAACGGAGGUGGGACCCCAUUAGGGUGCACCAUCGACCGAUCCUGAUGUCUUCGGAUGGAUUUGAGUAAGAGCAUGGCUGUUGGGACCCGAAAGAUGGUGAACUAUGCUUGAAUAGGGUGAAGCCAGAGGAAACUCUGGUGGAGGCUCGCAGCGGUUCUGACGUGCAAAUCGAUCGUCAAA